AUGAACGCUGGCGGCGUGCUUAACACAUGCAAGUCGAACGAUGAUGCCCAGCUUGCUGGGUGGAUUAGUGGCGAACGGGUGAGUAACACGUGAGUAACCUGCCCUUGACUCUGGGAUAAGCACUGGAAACGGUGUCUAAUACCGGAUACGACCUUCGGAGGCAUCUCCUGGGGGUGGAAAGAAUUUUGGUCAAGGAUGGACUCGCGGCCUAUCAGCUAGUUGGUGAGGUAAUGGCCCACCAAGGCGACGACGGGUAGCCG
RNAcentral lists this ribosomal RNA (260 nucleotides) under Microbacteriaceae bacterium ISO987_OTU188. RNAcentral describes it as "partial 16S ribosomal RNA". It matches the Rfam family "Bacterial small subunit ribosomal RNA", at positions 29 to 289 of the family's 1533-position model. Lineage: Bacteria; Bacillati; Actinomycetota; Actinomycetes; Micrococcales; Microbacteriaceae. The record is from RNAcentral.